This 253-nucleotide ribosomal RNA is filed under the name uncultured bacterium. RNAcentral describes it as "partial 16S ribosomal RNA". It matches the Rfam family "Bacterial small subunit ribosomal RNA", at positions 524 to 776 of the family's 1533-position model. The record is from RNAcentral.
UACGGAGGGUGCAAGCAUUAAUCGGAUUUAUUGGGCGUAAAGGGCGCGUAGGCGGUAAUAAAAGUCAGAUGUGAAAUCCUGGGGCUCAACCCCAGAACUGCAUAUGAAACUUUAUUUCUAGAGGGUAGGCGGAGAAAAUGGAAUUCCACAAGUAGCGGUGAAAUGCGUAGAUAUGUGGAAGAACACCAGUGGCGAAGGCGAUUUUCUAGCUUACACCUGACGCUGAGGCGCGAAAGCAAGGGGAUCAAACAGG